This 775-nucleotide ribosomal RNA is filed under the name uncultured Neocallimastigales. RNAcentral's name for it is "partial large subunit ribosomal RNA". It matches the Rfam family "Eukaryotic large subunit ribosomal RNA", at positions 18 to 643 of the family's 3401-position model. Lineage: Eukaryota; Fungi; Neocallimastigomycota; Neocallimastigomycetes; Neocallimastigales. The record is from RNAcentral.
UCAGACGAUGCGUCAUGCAUAUCAAUAAGCGGAGGAAAAGAAACUAACAAGGAUUCCCCUAGUAACGGCGAGUGAAGCGGGAAGAGCUCAAAUUUGAAAUCUUAAAGGGUUUCCCUUUACGAAUUGUAGUUUAAAGAAGUGUUUUCUGUUGAGGUUUUGGUAAAAGUUCUUUGGAAUAGGACAUCAUAGAGGGUGAGAAUCCCGUAUUUGACCUUUACUUUCAACUUUGUGAUACACUUUCAAAGAGUCGGAUUGUUUGGGAAUGCAGUCCAAAAUGGGUGGUAAAUUUCAUCUAAAGCUAAAUAUUGGCGAGAGACCGAUAGCGAACAAGUACCGUGAGGGAAAGAUGAAAAGAACUUUGAAAAGAGAGUUAAACAGUACGUGAAAUUGUCAAAAGGGAAGCGUUUGACACCAGUGUUGUUUUUCUGAAAAUCAAUUAAAGAGCUGUUUAUGCUAAGCUGUUUAGACUUUAUCAGCUAAUCUGUUUAGUUUUGAGCUUUUCUUUAAUGCACUUUUCAGUUAACAAGUCAACAUCAAUUUCUUUUGCUGUAAAAAAGCUUGAGGAAGGUGGCUUGAGAUUCGUCUUAAGUGUUUAUAGCCUCUUGCCUAUGCAGUCGGAGAGAUUGAGGUCUGCAGCGUAGAUCCUUCGGGGCUAAAUGCAUUUGUGCUAAGUUAUAGCAUUUUAUAGACAACUUGUUGACUAUGAUUUGUCUUGUAGCUUACUCGCUUAUGUUAUUUUACCUACGCUUAGGAUGUUGACACACGCGCGUGCUCG